Molecule: long non-coding RNA, 7463 nt
Filed under: Lactuca sativa (garden lettuce)
Lineage: Eukaryota; Viridiplantae; Streptophyta; Magnoliopsida; Asterales; Asteraceae
Description: long non-coding RNA (LSAT_LNC001122)
Source: RNAcentral
UAUUGUGGGUUGAAAACCCUAUAUGCUCACCAGGCUCCCAAGCCUGACCCACUCAGUUUUAAAUUGUAUUACAGGUAGUGGCGGAAGGGCAUGAGAUGGAUGAACCAUCAAGUUGUUUUGUUUACAAGUCUGCAUAUGUUUAUAUUUGUUAUAUGACUUGUAAUGUAUUCGUUUAUGCUUAUUGGUCUGUAUCGGAACAUGACACCCCGAGUUUUGAUUAUAAUGAAAAUACAUUUCUUUUAUGAAAUGCUUCGGUAAACAAUGUUUUAUCAUGUUUUGUUUUUGGGAACAAAUUCCGCAACUCUUUCAAAUCAAAAGGAUUUACUCUGAAAAUAUUUAAAAGCAUAAAUGAAAAUCGGUCUUUUCUGGCCGAGAUUUUGGGGAUGUCACAGUUGGUAUCAGAGCAUUAGUUUAAGCGAACUAGGAAUUUGUAGGAUUUCUAGACUUAAACUUAGAAUGCUAAGUGAAGUUUUGAGAUGUGUGUCUGUUGUGAUUUAGACACGAGCACUAGUUUAUUUUAGGAAAGUUGCCUAAAAUGCUUUAUGUGCUAAAUGUUAUAUGUUGCCAUAUAUGAUAUUAUUUGUUCGGAUCUAUGGUCUGUUGCCGACCGGAUCUAGAAACCUUAUGUGUGUAGGAUUCUAAGCGUACGUCUACGAUAUUAGAACUAGCAUGUAAACGUUUCGGAGUGAUAAGGAUGAUUUGAAUAUCUAUCAUGAUUGAGGAUCUAAUUUCACCUUAUUCGGUGUAGAUCAAAAUGGUGAGAACAAGAAGUGGAGUUGGAAAUGCUGACGAAAACAGGAAUCAACCACCAGUGAUUGAGCCAAUACCUGUCGUAGCAGCAGCACCUGAGCCAAUAACCAUGGCUGGUGUGCAAUUGAUGAUUCAGACGAUGUUGGAUCGUCAGAUGGAUGAAACUAGACGGUUGCUUCAACAAAAUCGUGAAGAACUGUCGAUUCGUGUGGAAGAGCCUGAACUGAAUGAAGGGCACUCGGAAGGUGGAAACUUCAGUGGGUCUGUUGGUCCAGCCAACCCACCGAUAGUUAGGCAAGAUAACCAUGAUGGAAGGAAUGAUGGAAUGGGAUGCAAGUACAAGGACUUUUUGACUUGUAAACCAUCGACCUUCAAUGGAAAGGAGGAUCCGAUUGGGGUUAUGGAUUGGAUCUCCGAAAUGGAGUUAGCCUUUAUGACAUGUGGCUGUAGAGGCAAGUUGCAGACUAUCUAUGCCGUGCGACAAUUCCGAGGUGGAGCCGUUCGUUGGUGGAACACUCUAGGGAAGACCUUAAGCCCUAAUGAGCCACUGCAAUUGUCAUGGGCAGAGUUCUUGGUGCAGUUCAAGCGCAAGUUCUGCUCGGCUCAAAAUCUGUUGGAGUUGGAGAACAAGUUUUUGACAUUGACGAAGGGUAGCAUGUCAGUGGAUGAGUACACCAAUAACUUCACCGAUAAGAUGGAGUUUGCCUUGCGUAUCGUUCCAGACGAGCUGACAAAGGUGGAUCGGUAUGCGAAGGGACUUCCAUGGGAGUACGAGGUGCCGGUACGUCAGGCACUUACUCUAGAGGCAGCUAUCUGGGCUGCCAAGUCUGUGGAGAACAUGAUCAAGGGGAGAACCACCGUCAAGGUUGAGGUUGGUGAGAAAAGGAAGUUUGAAGGAACAUCUGGUUCCAGUAAGAAGAGCAAAUUUUCGAAAUCUGAUUCGAAAAAGUUUGGAGGAAAAGGAGGCGAAGCAAAGUGGUGUGAUAAGUGUAAGAAAAAGCACUUUGGGAAAUGUAGCGAGGAUGUGACCUGCUACAAGUGUGGAAAGGUUGGACAUUUUGCCAAUGAAUGUCCGAACAACAAAAGGAUGUGUUUUGGGUGUAAUGAAGAGGGGCAUAUUUUGAAAGACUGUCCGAAGAAGAAGGAGGCAGCUAGGCCCAACAUUCCACCAAAGCCGAAGGCGAGAGCCUUCCAGAUGACACUUGAGGCUGCGAAAGAUGAAGCUGAUGUCGCUUCAGGUACCUUUCUCGUAAACGAAUUACCUGCUCAUAUAUUGUUUGAUUCUGGAGCCAACUACUCCUUUAUUUCGCAUGAGUUUGGUAGAAAGCUAGCUUUGCCUGUUGAUAGACUAGAUAAUGCUUUAUUAGUCGAAGUAGCUAGUGGCAAGUUUGUACCUGUUAGCCAUCGUAUGAAAAACGUCUUGAUCGACCUUAAUGGGAAUAAGUUUCUCGAGGAAUUAUUGCCUAUCGAACUAAAUGGUUUCGACAUCGUCUUGGGAAUGGAUUGGCUUAGCGCCAAUGAUGCCGAAAUUUUGUGCAAGAAGAAGAUAGUUAAAGUAAACCCGCCUGGGAAAGAUUCGUUUAUGGUGUAUGGGGACAAACGCAGAGUGAAUUCUGGAAUCAUUUCUCUAAUGAAAGCCAGAAAGUGUUUGACCAAGGGAUGUACAUCAUAUUUAGCAUUCGUGAUUGAUGCUAAGAAAGAAAAGAAGGUGAUGCAGAGCAUUCCAGUGGUGUGUGAUUAUCCGGAAGUAUUUCCCGAGGAUCUUCCUGGAUUACCACCUGAUAGACAAGUGGAGUUCAGAAUAGACUUGUUACCAGGAACCACGCCAAUAGCAAAAGCACCUUAUCGAUUAGCACCGACGGAGAUGAAGGAGCUGAUGAUGCAACUUCAGGAGUUAUUGGACAAAGGUUUCAUUAGACCUAGUUCAUCGCCCUGGGGAGCUCCGGUGUUAUUUGUAAAGAAGAAAGAUGGAAGUAUGAGAAUGUGCAUCGAUUACAGAGAGCUGAACAAGGCAACAAUAAAGAAUAGAUAUCCGUUGCCGAGGAUUGAUGACCUGUUUGAUCAAUUGCAAGGUUCGAGCUAUUUCUCGAAGAUCGAUCUUAGGUCAGGAUAUCAUCAGCUGAAAGUAAGAGAGCAAGAUAUCGAGAAGACUGCAUUCAGAACUAGAUAUGGACACUACGAGUUCUUGGUUAUGUCGUUUGGACUAACCAAUGCUCCAGCAGCGUUCAUGGAUUUGAUGAAUAGGGUUUGUAAUCCUUUCCUUGAUAAAUCCGUGAUAGUGUUCAUAGACGACAUUCUGAUCUACUCGAAAAGCCAGGAGGAGCAUGGCAGACACUUGCGAGAAGUGUUAGAAGUUUUGAAGAAGGAGAAGCUUUAUGCGAAGUUCUCCAAAUGUGAUUUUUGGAUUCGUGAGGUCCAAUUCUUGGGUCACGUGGUCAACCAAGAAGGGAUAAUGGUUGAUCCAGCGAAGAUCGAAGCUGUGACGAAGUGGGAACAACCGAAAAGUCCCACGGAGAUUCGAAGCUUUUUAGGAUUAGCCGGAUAUUACCGAAGGUUUAUCCAAGGCUUUUCUUCGAUUGCUACUCCAUUAACAGCUUUGACCCACAAAGGAGCUACUUAUGCUUGGAGUGAGAAGCAUAAAGAAGCAUUCGAGAAGUUAAAGAAGAAGCUAUGCGAGGCACCGAUACUUUCUCUACCCGAUGGAGUUGAAGACUUCGCUGUUUAUAGCGAUGCGUCUGGUGUUGGAUUGGGUUGUGUUUUGACCCAAAGAGAAAAGGUGAUAGCAUAUGCGUCUCGACAGCUGAAAGAGCAUGAAAAGAAUUACCCGACUCAUGAUUUGGAGUUGGCAGCGGUAGUUUUCGCUCUGAAAAUAUGGAGGCAUUACCUCUAUGGCACGAAGUGCAAACUUUUCACUGAUCAUAAGAGUCUCCAAUACCUCUUUAAUCAGAAAGAAUUGAAUAUGAGGCAACGACGCUGGCUAGAAUUACUUAAAGACUACGACUGCGAGAUACUUUACCACCCCGGUAAAGCUAAUGUUGUUGCUGAUGCUCUCAGUCGGAAAGUCAAUCUUGAAAGGAAGAGGCCAAGAGCGUUGAGAAUUGAAGUUGUCUCGACUAUUGUGGAAAGUAUAAAGAAAGCUCAAGAGGAAGCUUCUGAGAAAAAUGACCGAAAGGAGGAACGUUUGGGUAAAACGUUGGUGUUUGGUACUAACGGUCAUGGACUGAAGGUAUUCCAAGAUCGUAUUUGGGUACCUAAGUCAGGAGGAAUUAGGGAUCUUCUGAUGGAAGAAGCUCACAAAACCAUGUACUCAAUUCAUCCGGGUAGCACUAAAAUGUAUAGGGACCUGAAACCCUACUACUGGUGGCCGACGAUGAAGCUUGAUGUUGCAAAGUAUGUGGCCGAGUGUGUGACUUGUGCGAGAGUCAAGACACAACAUCAGAAACCUUACGGGAGUUUAGAACCAUUGCCUGUGCCUAUGGGUAAGUGGGAAGACAUUGCUAUGGAUUUUGUCACUAAACUGCCCAGAACAAAGAAUGGUCACGACAUGAUUUGGGUGGUCGUUGAUCGAUUCACUAAGAGUGCGCAUUUCAUAGCGGCCAGGGAGAAAUGGUCUAUGGAAAAGCUUGCGAAUUCUUACGUGAAGGAAAUUGUGAGGCUUCACGGUGUUCCGUUAACGAUUGUAUCGGAUCGUGAUAGCCGUUUCACCUCAAGGUUUUGGAAAAGUCUACAAGAGGAAAUGGGUACCAAGUUAUGUUUAAGCACAGCUUACCAUCCGCAGACUGAUGGUCAGAGUGAAAGAACAAUACAAACACUUGAAGAUAUGCUGAGAGCAUGUACCUUGGAAUUCCUAGGUAAUUGGGAUGAACAUUUACCGUUGGUAGAAUUUUCCUAUAAUAAUAGUUUUCACUCGAGCAUUAAGAUGGCACCUUAUCAAGCUUUGUAUGGACAGAAGUGUCGUACGCCGUCUUGUUGGCUUGAGGCUGGGGAAAAGCAGUUUAUGGGACCGGAGAUGGUUCAUCAAACUGCUGAAAAGUUGAAAAUAAUUAGGGAAAGAAUGUUAGCAGCUCAAGAUCGUCAAAAGAGCUAUGCUGACAAGAAGCGAAGACCGAUGACUUUUGAGGUUGGAGAUUCGGUUUUGCUUAAAGUCUCGCCGUGGAAGGGACUUAUAAGAUUUGGUAAAAGGGGAAAGUUGAGUCCAAGGUUUAUUGGACCGUUUAAAGUCCUUCAGAGGAUUGGGAAUCAAGCUUACAAGCUCGAAUUACCCGAAGAACUGAAUGGAAUUCACAACACCUUUCAUGUGUGUUAUUUGAGGAAGUUCACGGGAGAAGUUCCCGAUAUAAUUCCAAUUUCUGAAUUGAGAAUUGAUGAGAACAAAAGGUUGAUUGAAGAACCAGAGGCAAUUGUUGACCGAAAGACUAAGAAGUUGCGACGCAAAAUGGUUGGGUUAGUGCUUGUCCGAUGGAAACACACGAAUGGGCCGAAUCUCACCUGGGAGACGGAGAGUGACAUGUUGAGUCGCUAUCCGCAUUUGUUUGUUGAUGUGUGAUUCCGGGGACGGAAUCAUUCUAAGGUGGAGAGAAUUGUAACGCCUGUGUUUCCGGGCUUGCCAUUUUUAGCAAUGUAAUAGUCUAGGUUAACCUUUGUAACCCGUUUUGAAAUAAUAAGAUUGUAUUAUUUGAGUAUUAUGUGUUUUGUGCUUAAUUGCUUAAUUAUGUGGUUUGAUUAAUUAAGAAUAAAAAUAAGCGUCAAAAUUUAAGUGUAAAAUAAACUUAAUAUCUUUGGUUAAUGUUGUAGUAGUUGAAACGAGGUUUCCGAAUAUAUAUAGAACGCCCAAAUCUGACUUCGUAUGAGGAAGUUAUGAUUUAUCGAAGUUCCGGCUUAGCGAUAUACAGCCUGUUUUACUCGAUUUGAGAUCGAGCGGUUGUUAGCCGAAGCAAUCUAAAUGAGAAUCGAAGAUCUCAUUGUUGGUAUUGAAACGAUAAAAAGUUAGGCGAGAACGGACGUCAAACGAAGAAGUUAUGAAUUUAUAACGAAAGUUUCUGUCCCGGCCUAUUAAAAAUAAUUAAUAAAAAUAAAGUCAAAAUUAGCCGACGGAGUCUAAACGAAAGUCGUAGAGCGUGGUCUCACCUUCGCGUGGAUAUAAAGAACGUCGAAAACGGAGUUCGUAUGAAGAAGUUAUGAAUUUCCGAAGUUUAUUAAUCAUUUUGUAUUUAUUUUUAAUUCAAAAUUCGGAAGCAUUAUCCGAAGGAGUCACCGAUCUGAUCCGAGGUACGCCCCGCGUACUCGAGUACGCCCCGCGUACUCCGAGGGAUGUCGACACUCGCACUCGAGCACUUCGGAUACGUAAGCAAUGACGUUUUGGGCAGUACGCCCCGCGUAACGCAGUACGCCCCGCGUACUCCGAGGCUCCAGCCUCCUAUAAAUAGGAUGCGAGGGUUCCGGGUAUUUUUGCCAAUUCCCUCUCGUUUUCGUGUCGAAGCUCUGUGCAAAAACCCCCGAAGCUACCCCGAAGUCCCGGUAUCAUACUCUAGCCCCGAGGCAAGUCCCGAGAUCCUGAAGAUCCCGAAAAGUGCGGUUCCCGAGUCGAAGCUCUGCCCGCGAGAAGUUCGAUUUUCGAGAAGAUCUUCCAGAUCUGCUGUGGAUUACUACUUCUAUAAGCCGUAGUGCUGUCCGAUCAUCUUCUGAUCAAGUGAGUGUGUAGUUAUUUCUUCUAAUACAAUAAUACGAAGUAUUUUAUAUAAAAAUACGUGCUAUGUGUAUAUAUUUGGUUGUGUUAUGUGUGAAUGAGUAUUCACUCUCUUCUAUCUUAUAGAUCUGCUUAUUUCUUUAUGAGAUAUGUGUUAUGUGUGUGUGUGCCUCAUCUGUUAUGUGAUAUAUGUGUUGAUUAAAGCAUGCUAUACAGGUUUUCUUUAAACUAUGUAUACAAAUGUAUAUUUUUAUCUACUAAUAUGUUGGGUAGAACAUGGGUAGACAGUUGGUGUGUAAUAAACAGAUGAGAGGCCUCGUUGUUGUUUGAUUGAGUCAUCUAGCGGAGUUUAGAUGACGACCACUGGCUAUUCUAGACAGUCUUGUGGAAACAUUAGCAGGUUCGCCACCUGUAGGUGUUAAUGAACUUGGGUGUUCAUUCGCUGUACUCCAUCCCCCUCAUGGUUGCCUUAUUUGACUUAUAUUGCUGAGGUACCCCCGAAGCAUGUGUUGUCGCCCCGAUGAAAUAUUCUUAGACUAGGUCCCUUAUGUUAGUUGUUUUAGGGACAUUAAAGUGAGAAUAACGGGAAUGGGUAAUUGGGUUAUUGUUGGUUGGUGAAAAUUAAAUAUGAUAUUUAUUGUGGGUUGAAAACCCUAUAUGCUCACCAGGCUCCCAAGCCUGACCCACUCAGUUUUAAAUUGUAUUACAGGUAGUGGCGGAAGGGCAUGAGAUGGAUGAACCAUCAAGUUGUUUUGUUUACAAGUCUGCAUAUGUUUAUAUUUGUUAUAUGACUUGUAAUGUAUUCGUUUAUGCUUAUUGGUCUGUAUCGGAACAUGACACCCCGAGUUUUGAUUAUAAUGAAAAUACAUUUCUUUUAUGAAAUGCUUCGUUAAACGAUGUUUUAUCAUGUUUUGUUUUUGGGAACAAAUUCCGCAACUCUUUCAAAUCAAAAGGAUUUACUCUGAAAAUAUUUAAAAGCAUAAAUGAAAAUCGGUCUUUUCUGGCCGAGAUUUUGGGGAUGUUACAC